GUGGGGAAUUUUGCGCAAUGGGGGAAACCCUGACGCAGCAACGCCGCGUGAGUGAUGAAGGCCUUCGGGUCGUAAAGCUCUGUCAGAGGGGAAGAAAUGCAGGGGUGCUAAUAUCAUCUUUGCUUGACGGUACCCUCAAAGGAAGCACCGGCUAACUCCGUGCCAGCAGCCGCGGUAAUACGGAGGGUGCGAGCGUUGUUCGGAAUUAUUGGGCGUAAAGCGCGUGUAGGCGGUUUGGUAAGUCUGAUGUGAAAGCCCCGGGCUCAACCUGGGAAAUGCAUUGGAAACUGUCAGACUUGAAUACGGGAGAGGGUAGUGGAAUUCCUAGUGUAGGAGUGAAAUCCGUAGAUAUUAGGAGGAACACCGGUGGCGAAGGCGGCUACCUGGACCGAUAUUGACGCUGAGACGCGAAAGCGUGGGGAGCAAACAGGAUUAGAUACCCUAGUAGUCC
Molecule: ribosomal RNA, 451 nt
Filed under: uncultured bacterium
Lineage: Bacteria
Description: partial 16S ribosomal RNA
Rfam family: Bacterial small subunit ribosomal RNA
Source: RNAcentral